GACGAACGUUGGCGGCGUGCUUAAUACAUGCAAGUCAACUGAAGCAGAGGUAGUAAUAUCUCUGUGGAGGUGGCGCACGGGUGAGUAACACGUAGGUAAUCUGCCUUCAAGUCUGACAUAACCCCGAGAAAUCGGGGCUAAUAGCAGAUGAUGCAGCGGCUUGACAUCAAGACAGUUGUUAAAGCUUCGGCGCCUGAAGAUGAGCCUGCGCUGAUUAGCUAGUUGGCGGAGUAACAGCCCACCAAGGCUACGAUCAGUAGCUGGUCUGAGAGGAUGAUCAGCCACACUGGAACUGG
Molecule: ribosomal RNA, 296 nt
Filed under: uncultured bacterium
Lineage: Bacteria
Description: partial 16S ribosomal RNA
Rfam family: Bacterial small subunit ribosomal RNA
Source: RNAcentral